This 63-nucleotide small nuclear RNA is filed under the name Echinops telfairi (small Madagascar hedgehog). Its description in RNAcentral is "U7 small nuclear RNA (ENSETEG00000021001.1)". It matches the Rfam family "U7 small nuclear RNA". From Rfam's summary of the family: Animal histone pre-mRNAs are spliced by a different mechanism than nuclear pre-mRNAs and self-splicing introns. Lineage: Eukaryota; Metazoa; Chordata; Mammalia; Afrosoricida; Tenrecidae. The record is from RNAcentral.
UUGUCUUACAGCUCUUUUAGAAUUUGUCUGGCAGCUUUUCUGAUUUUCUUCCAGAAAACCACC